CCUGCCCUUUAGUCAUAGACAUUCUCAGCACUAAGCCCAUCAAGUUCAAGAAGAAUGCAUGCACAUAUGACUGAUCAGACCGAAUGUUGGUUGAUGAAGUGUUGAGUUUUGUAUAAGUUGCUCAUGUUUUUCCUGUUAUUGUAUUUUCUGGAUUGCAGCCUGGGUUUCUUCCACUUCAUAAGGAAAAAUGAGAUGUAUUCAUAGUCCUUUUAAGGUUCACGCAAGCAAUAUGCAAAGCUAUGCUGCACGUACGAUAUGUUUAGUCUUUUGAAAGGAUCAUGGAAGUGAAAUAAUGUUUGCCAAGAAUGUAAAUCAACAGAGGAGAUUGUGAAUAAUUCUAUGCUUGUUGCUUAGCUCCAUCUUUCUUGCCGCUGCAUUCCAAACCCAAUGAGGUUCCGUGUGAGCAUUAAAUCUUAAAGUAAGCUUUUAAAUAAGUCAACUAAAUAUUUUAUUGUCUCUUCCCAUAUAAAAUUGUGUUUCAUAUGGUAACUCGGGC
RNAcentral lists this long non-coding RNA (496 nucleotides) under Citrus sinensis (sweet orange). RNAcentral describes it as "long non-coding RNA (CSIN_LNC005816)". Lineage: Eukaryota; Viridiplantae; Streptophyta; Magnoliopsida; Sapindales; Rutaceae. The record is from RNAcentral.